This is a long non-coding RNA of Xenopus tropicalis (tropical clawed frog), 547 nucleotides long. RefSeq lists it as uncharacterized. The transcript has 3 exons. NCBI's taxonomy places the organism in Eukaryota, Metazoa, Chordata, Amphibia, Anura, Pipidae. The record is from RefSeq and is a predicted model, not a curated record.
UAAGCCCCUCCCACUGCUGGCACAGAUGUACAAUUAAGCACUCAGCCAGGUAACUUUGUGUUUUACCUUGUGGAACAGUUUGGGGCAAUUCUUUCCUGUCCCAGCACAAUAAUGCCCCUUACACAAAGCCAGGUCCUACAGAAUGGGUUUGCUAUGAAGGGACUGGAAGAACCGGACUGCACAGAGCCCUGACCUCAACCCAACUGAACCCCUGUGGGAUGAACUGGAACCCCGACUGUGAGCCUGAUCCCCAACAUCAGCGCCCAACCUCACUAAUGCUCUUGUGGCUGAAUGGCAGCAAAUCCCACCAACAACAUCUAGGGGGCACCUUCCUAGAGGAGUAGGGCCUGUUCCAGCAGCACGGUAAGUAGGAUUGUAAUGAAAGCUGCCAAAGGGUCCUUGUGGUGAAUGGAAACAGUAUGGUGUUGUGACUGCGAACAGAAGAAAUUAUGGGAGGAAGCUGGAAGUGGCUGUUGUGCUGUGGGGUGCGAGCGUGGCCAGACACCGUUUUUAUUGUAUCUCCAAAAUAAAGUGCCAUAAACUGUAA